GUGAACCAGCGGAGGGAUCAUUACCGAGUUUACAACUCCCAAACCCCUGUGAACAUACCAAUUGUUGCCUCGGCGGAUCAGCCCGCUCCCGGUAAAACGGAACGGCCCGCCAGAGGACCCCUAAACUCUGUUUCUAUAUGUAACUUCUGAGUAAAACCAUAAAUAAAUCAAAACUUUCAACAACGGAUCUCUUGGUUCUGGCAUCGAUGAAGAACGCAGCAAAAUGCGAUAAGUAAUGUGAAUUGCAGAAUUCAGUGAAUCAUCGAAUCUUUGAACGCACAUUGCGCCCGCCAGUAUUCUGGCGGGCAUGCCUGUUCGAGCGUCAUUUCAACCCUCAAGCCCCCGGGUUUGGUGUUGGGGAUCGGCGAGCCUCACGGCAAGCCGGCCCCGAAAUACAGUGGCGGUCUCGCUGCAGCUUCCAUUGCGUAGUAGUAAAACCCUCGCAACUGGUACGCGGCGCGGCCAAGCCGUUAAACCCCCAACUUCUGAAUGUUGACCUCGGAUCAGGUAGGAAUACCC
RNAcentral lists this ribosomal RNA (519 nucleotides) under Fusarium verticillioides. RNAcentral describes it as "eukaryotic LSU rRNA". The stretch from base 172 to 325 matches the Rfam family "5.8S ribosomal RNA". Lineage: Eukaryota; Fungi; Ascomycota; Sordariomycetes; Hypocreales; Nectriaceae. The record is from RNAcentral.